This 253-nucleotide ribosomal RNA is filed under the name uncultured bacterium. Its description in RNAcentral is "partial 16S ribosomal RNA". It matches the Rfam family "Bacterial small subunit ribosomal RNA", at positions 524 to 776 of the family's 1533-position model. The record is from RNAcentral.
UACGUAGGGGGCUAGCGUUGUCCGGAAUCAUUGGGCGUAAAGGGCGCGUAGGCGGCUAUGAAAGUCAGAAGUGAAAUCCCCGGGCUUAACCCGGGAAUUGCUUUUGAAACUCCAUAGCUAGAAUCCGGGAGAGGUUAGCAGAAUUCCCAGUGUAGAGGUGAAAUUCGCAGAUAUUGAGAGGAAUACCAGUGGCGAAGGCGGCUAACUGGACCGGCAUUGACGCUGAGGUACGAAAGCGUGGGUAGCAAACAGG